RNAcentral lists this non-coding RNA (30 nucleotides) under Rattus norvegicus (Norway rat). The record is from RNAcentral. Lineage: Eukaryota; Metazoa; Chordata; Mammalia; Rodentia; Muridae.
UCUAAAGCAGUGCACUGAGUUCCUCACACC